AUUAAAAUCACCUGGGGAGCUUUUUAAAAUCCUGAUGCCCAGGCCUCACACAAAACCAGUUAAAUUGAAAUCUCUGGGAGUAGGACCAGGCAGUAAUUUUAAAAGCUCCUAUGUGAUUACAAU
This 123-nucleotide microRNA precursor is filed under the name Marmota monax (woodchuck). The record is from RNAcentral. Lineage: Eukaryota; Metazoa; Chordata; Mammalia; Rodentia; Sciuridae.